UUUACGGAGAGUUUGAUCCUGGCUCAGGAUGAACGUUGGCGGCGCGCAUAAUGCAUGCAAGUCGAACGAAGUCCCACCCUUCGGGGUGACGACUUAGUGGCAGACGGCUGAGUAACGCGUGAGUGAUCUGCCUUUGGGUAGGGGAUAACAGAGAGAAAUUUCUGCUAAUACCGCAUACGAUCCGCAGUGUAGAGGCUGCGGAUGAAAGGUGCCGGGUAACCGGUUGCCGCCCUUAGAUGAGCUCGCGUCCUAUCAGGUAGUUGGUGGGGUAAUGGCCUACCAAGCCUUAGACGGGUAACUGGUGUGAGAGCAUGACCAGUCAGAGGGGGACUGAGACACGGCCCCCACUCCUACGGGAGGCAGCAGCAGGGAAUCUUCCACAAUGGGCGAAAGCCUGAUGGAGCGACGCCGCGUGAGGGAUGAAGGCUNUAGGGUCGUAAACCUCUUUUCUNAGGGAAGAGCAAGGACGGUACCUNAGGAAUAAGUGACGGCUAACUACGUGCCAGCAGCCGCGGUAAUACGUAGGUCACAAACGUUGUCCGGANUUAUUGGGCGUAAAGGGUCCGUAGGCGGUUCGGUAAGUCUCCUGUGAAAUCUUCAGGCUCAACUUGAAGAGGUCGGGGGAUACUGCNGNACUUGAGACUGNNAGAGGCAAGUGGAAUUCCCGGUGUAGUGGUGAAAUGCGUAGAUAUCGGGAGGAACACCANUGGCGAAAGCGGCUUGCUGGGNCAGUUCUGACGCUGAGGGACGAAAGCGUGGGUAGCAAACCGGAUUAGAUACCCGGGUAGUCCACGCCGUAAA
Molecule: ribosomal RNA, 801 nt
Filed under: Chloroflexota bacterium
Lineage: Bacteria; Bacillati; Chloroflexota
Description: bacterial SSU rRNA
Rfam family: Bacterial small subunit ribosomal RNA
Source: RNAcentral